GGGAAUGUGGCUUAGUGGUAGAGUGCUUGCCUAGCAUGCAUGAAGCCCUGGGUUCGAUUCUCAGUACCA
Molecule: transfer RNA, 69 nt
Filed under: Dipodomys ordii (Ord's kangaroo rat)
Lineage: Eukaryota; Metazoa; Chordata; Mammalia; Rodentia; Heteromyidae
Rfam family: tRNA
About the family: Transfer RNA (tRNA) molecules are approximately 80 nucleotides in length. Their secondary structure includes four short double-helical elements and three loops (D, anti-codon, and T loops).
Source: Rfam by way of RNAcentral